UGCAGUCGAGGGGUAUAGUUCUUCGGAAUUAGAGACCGGCGCACGGGUGCGUAACGCGUAUGCAAUCUACCUUUCACAGAGGGAUAGCCCAGAGAAAUUUGGAUUAAUACCUCAUAGUAUAUAGAGUUGGCAUCAACAUUAUAUUAAAGUCACAACGGUGAAAGAUGAGCAUGCGUCCCAUUAGCUAGUUGGUAAGGUAACGGCUUACCAAGGCGACGAUGGGUAGGGGUCCUGAGAGGGAGAUCCCCCACACUGGUACUGAGACACGGACCAGACUCCUACGGGAGGCAGCAGUGAGGAAUAUUGGACAAUGGGCGCAAGCCUGAUCCAGCCAUGCCGCGUGCAGGAUGAUGGUCCUAUGGAUUGUAAACUGCUUUUAUACGAGAAGAAACAACUCUACGUGUAGAGUCUUGACGGUAUCGUAAGAAUAAGGAUCGGCUAACUCCGUGCCAGCAGCCGCGGUAAUACGGAGGAUCCAAGCGUUAUCCGGAAUCAUUGGGUUUAAAGGGUCCGUAGGCGGUCAGAUAAGUCAGUGGUGAAAGCCCAUCGCUCAACGGUGGAACGGCCAUUGAUACUGUCUGACUUGAAUUAUUAGGAAGUAACUAGAAUAUGUAGUGUAGCGGUGAAAUGCUUAGAGAUUACAUGGAAUACCAAUUGCGAAGGCAGGUUGCUACUAAUUGAUUGACGCUGAUGGACGAAAGCGUGGGUAGCGAACAGGAUUAGAUAUCCUGGUAGUCCACGCCGUAAACGAUGGAUACUAGCUGUUGGGAGCAAUCUCAGUGGCUAAGCGAAAGUGAUAAGUAUCCCACCUGGGGAGUACGUUCGCAAGAAUGAAACUCAAAGGAAUUGACGGGGGCCCGCACAAGCGGUGGAGCAUGUGGUUUAAUUCGAUGAUACGCGAGGAACCUUAC
This 911-nucleotide ribosomal RNA is filed under the name uncultured bacterium. RNAcentral describes it as "bacterial SSU rRNA". It matches the Rfam family "Bacterial small subunit ribosomal RNA", at positions 56 to 974 of the family's 1533-position model. The record is from RNAcentral.